GAACGCUGGCGGCGUGCCUAAUACAUGCAAGUCGAGCGAACAGACGAGGAGCUUGCUCCUCUGACGUUAGCGGCGGACGGGUGAGUAACACGUGGAUAACCUACCUAUAAGACUGGGAUAACUUCGGGAAACCGGAGCUAAUACCGGAUAAUAUAUUGAACCGCAUGGUUCAAUAGUGAAAGACGGUUUUGCUGUCACUUAUAGAUGGAUCCGCGCCGCAUUAGCUAGUUGGUAAGGUAACGGCUUACCAAGGCGACGAUGCGUAGCCGACCUGAGAGGGUGAUCGGCCACACUGGAACUGAGACACGGUCCAGACUCCUACGGGAGGCAGCAGUAGGGAAUCUUCCGCAAUGGGCGAAAGCCUGACGGAGCAACGCCGCGUGAGUGAUGAAGGUCUUCGGAUCGUAAAACUCUGUUAUUAGGGAAGAACAAAUGUGUAAGUAACUAUGCACGUCUUGACGGUACCUAAUCAGAAAGCCACAGCUAACUACGUG
RNAcentral lists this ribosomal RNA (494 nucleotides) under uncultured bacterium. RNAcentral describes it as "partial 16S ribosomal RNA". It matches the Rfam family "Bacterial small subunit ribosomal RNA", at positions 31 to 507 of the family's 1533-position model. The record is from RNAcentral.